RNAcentral lists this ribosomal RNA (497 nucleotides) under uncultured bacterium. RNAcentral describes it as "partial 16S ribosomal RNA". It matches the Rfam family "Bacterial small subunit ribosomal RNA", at positions 28 to 507 of the family's 1533-position model. The record is from RNAcentral.
GAUGAACGCUGGCGGCGUGCCUAAUACAUGCAAGUCGAGCGAACAGACGAGGAGCUUGCUCCUCUGACGUUAGCGGCGGACGGGUGAGUAACACGUGGAUAACCUACCUAUAAGACUGGGAUAACUUCGGGAAACCGGAGCUAAUACCGGAUAAUAUAUUGAACCGCAUGGUUCAAUAGUGAAAGACGGUUUUGCUGUCACUUAUAGAUUGAUCCGCGCCGCAUUAGCUAGUUGGUAAGGUAACAGCUUACCAAGGCAACGAUGCGUAGCCGACCUGAGAGGGUGAUCGGCCACACUGGAACUGAGACACGGUCCAGACUCCUACGGGAGGCAGCAGUAGGGAAUCUUCCGCAAUGGGCGAAAGCCUGACGGAGCAACGCCGCGUGAGUGAUGAAGGUCUUCGGAUCGUAAAACUCUGUUAUUAGGGAAGAACAAAUGUGUAAGUAACUAUGCACGUCUUGACGGUACCUAAUCAGAAAGCCACGGCUAACUACGUG